Molecule: unclassified non-coding RNA, 651 nt
Filed under: Hevea brasiliensis (rubber tree)
Lineage: Eukaryota; Viridiplantae; Streptophyta; Magnoliopsida; Malpighiales; Euphorbiaceae
Source: RNAcentral
CCUUCCUCCACUGAAGCAUAUCAGCCCACAUAUGCUUGGCUCUCUCGAUAUCAAACUUUCUUGCUUUUAAGAACCUCAACAUCAUAUAGUAGUCAUCGUGUCUUUCAGGUAACAACUCAUCCAAAAGUAAUGAUUGUCUAAACUGAUCAACAGCCUGUAGCUCCUCAGCAUCCCGAAUGUCCUCGAUGGAAAGUGAGCUCAACCGUCCAUUGCUUUUUCUUCUACUACUUUUCUUCUUAAGAGAAUGUUUGAAUUUCGUUGAUGCAUUCAAUGCUUUCUUUUUCAGGGAACCAAUUCUCGUCCUCCUCUCAUCCUCUGAAUUCUCAAAAUCGGACUUUCUUUCUCUUCUCUCAUCAUGUGUAGAUGACCCCUCAAAGCAAGGUCUAGCAAACCGAUCUAAUGGACCCGACAUGGCUGCCGGCGGCGACUAGAAAAUCAAGAAUCUCAACUCCAACAGAUCGACAAAUCGCAAAAUACCUUCGAAAAGACAGCAAUAAAUAAAUUACAUGAGCAAGAAAGAAGAAAAUUGAUGAAGUGUAACCGAAAAGUGGCGUAGAGGAAGGGGUACUGUGGGAAUAACAAAAUUACAUACGCCGUAUGAUAAUAUAUAUAUAUCACCGGAUAACCCGACGGCGAUAUAGGAGAGAGAAA